AUUUGGAUCUUCAUAGAUGGUUUUGCUUUAAAGUUGAAAUUUUCUGAUGACAAAUAUUUUACGAAGUGAAGAUGGGAGAUAAGGUGAAAGGUAAGAUGGUGGCCUAGGUAAACAGGGCUUGCCUCCUCACAUCACCACAUCAAAAUUACAACUAAACUACAGAACAACCAGUGCUCAGAAUUGCCAGAAAUUGAGCUUAAUGGAAGUCCUACAUCUACAGAAUUAAA
Molecule: long non-coding RNA, 227 nt
Organism: Phyllostomus discolor (pale spear-nosed bat)
Lineage: Eukaryota; Metazoa; Chordata; Mammalia; Chiroptera; Phyllostomidae
Exons: 2
Source: RefSeq, a predicted model, not a curated record